GGGCUUGUGGUUUAGUGGUAUAAUACUCGUGGUCCGGGGUUCGAUUCCCCGCGAGUCCA
Molecule: transfer RNA, 59 nt
Filed under: Hypoxylon argillaceum
Lineage: Eukaryota; Fungi; Ascomycota; Sordariomycetes; Xylariales; Hypoxylaceae
Description: tRNA-OTHER
Rfam family: tRNA
About the family: Transfer RNA (tRNA) molecules are approximately 80 nucleotides in length. Their secondary structure includes four short double-helical elements and three loops (D, anti-codon, and T loops).
Source: RNAcentral